CAUUAGUUUAGGUGAAGAUUCUUCAACAUUUUUCUUCCUUUUGUGUUUAUCUUUAGCUCUUCGAUCUUCUUUCUACAUCACUGUUGACACUUUGAGUUAUCAUUUUUUUCAACAAUGUUUAGAGAAUGUCGCUUAAUCAAAGAUUUAAUGGUGGGAGUCUUCAAUGUAAGCAUGAGCUGAAAGCACGAUGGAGAUCAGUAGAGGCUUUCAGAUAGUAAUUUGGAUGAACAAUGAAGGCACAAUUGGGUUGUAGAAGAAAGGGAUUCUAG
This 269-nucleotide long non-coding RNA is filed under the name Olea europaea (common olive). RNAcentral describes it as "long non-coding RNA (OEUR_LNC010124)". The record is from RNAcentral. Lineage: Eukaryota; Viridiplantae; Streptophyta; Magnoliopsida; Lamiales; Oleaceae.